Molecule: non-coding RNA, 45 nt
Filed under: Schistosoma mansoni
Lineage: Eukaryota; Metazoa; Platyhelminthes; Trematoda; Strigeidida; Schistosomatidae
Source: RNAcentral
AUCCAUUUGACGAGUCUCAAAUAGGACGAAACCAACGUUCUGGAU